RNAcentral lists this ribosomal RNA (200 nucleotides) under uncultured bacterium. RNAcentral describes it as "partial 16S ribosomal RNA". It matches the Rfam family "Bacterial small subunit ribosomal RNA", at positions 28 to 231 of the family's 1533-position model. The record is from RNAcentral.
GAUGAACGCUAGCGGCAGGCUUAACACAUGCAAGUCGAGGGGUAUGGUUCUUCGGAACCAGAGACCGGCGCACGGGUGCGUAACGCGUAUGCAAUCUACCUUUUACAGAGGGAUAGCCCAGAGAAAUUUGGAUUAAUACCUCAUAGUAUAACAUGACUGCAUGGUCGAGUUAUUAAAGUCACAACGGUAAAAGAUGAGCA